CACUCUAACGUGGGCAAGAGAGCAACACCCUGUCUCAAAAAAAGAAAGAACAAGGAAAUCUGAGAAAUCCACAGAUACGUGGAAGUUAACAUACUACUGAGUAACUAAUGGGUGAAGGAAGAAAUCACAAGGGAAAUUAGGAAAUACUUUGAGAUAAAUGAAAAGAAAGACAACAUACCAAAACAUAUGGGACGUAGCUAAAGCAGUGCCUAGAGAGAAAUUUGUAACUGUAAAUGCUUAAAUAAACAGGAAGAAAUAAUGUAGGAUAAACAGGUUUAAAGAUCUAAUAUACAGGCUCGAGCUGUAGGCAUGCAGGGCCGGAGACGCUGCAGACCCACGACCUGGAGCAGCUCGGAGGUGGUGAAUAAUAGGUCUUCACGUCUGCAAUAAAAAAUGGCCUCCAAUAAAACUACAUUUCAAAAAAUAGGAAAAAAACAAUAGGAAGAGUAAAAAAGUUGAAGAGGCAGAGCCUGAAGAAUUUGUGGUGGAAAAAGUACUAGAUCGAUGUGUAGUGAAUGGGAAAGUGGAGUAUUUCCUGAUGUGGAAGGGAUUUACAGAUGCUGACAAUACUUGGGAACCUGAAGAAAAUUUAGAUUGUCCAGAGUUGAUUGAAGCAUUUGUUAACUCUCAGAAAGCUGGCAAAGAAAAAGAUGGUACAAAAAGAAAAUCUUUAUCUGAUAGUGAAUCUGAUGACAGCAAAUCAAAGAAGAAAAGAGAUGCUGCUGACAAACCAAGAGGAUUUGCCAGAGGUCUUGAUCCUGAAAGAAUAAUUGGUGCCACAGACAGCAGUGGAGAAUUGAUGUUUCUUAUGAAAUGGAAAGAUUCAGAUGAGGCAGACUUGGUGCUGGCGAAAGAGGCAAAUAUGAAGUGUCUUCAAAUUAUAAUUGCUUUUUAUGAAGAGAGACUAACUUGGCAUUCUUGUCCAGAAGAUGAAGCUCAAUAAUUGUUCACAUUGCUUUUAUAUAUAUAUAUAUAAAAUUAUAUAUAUAUAUAUAUAAAAUUUGGGUCUUGGAUUUUGAUUUACUAGUGUGAUGAAAUAACUGCAUCCUAAUGAAAAUCAAGUUUGAUAUGUUUGUUUUGAAAGUAGCAUUGGAAGAGUUGUUGGGGGGUUUUUUGCAUCCAUAGCACUGGUUACUUUGAACAAAUAAAUAAAAGCUUUCUGUAGUUGCUUCUUUUAUCAGAAAAGAACAUUUGAUACCAUGGUAUAUUAUUUCCUCUUCAUUAAAGAACAGCUUUUCUAAAUGUU
Cercocebus atys (sooty mangabey) is the source of this 1246-nucleotide RNA transcript. It is a transcript of the gene named chromobox protein homolog 3 pseudogene, with no coding region annotated. The record is from RefSeq and is a predicted model, not a curated record. The transcript has a single exon. Lineage: Eukaryota; Metazoa; Chordata; Mammalia; Primates; Cercopithecidae.